This 258-nucleotide ribosomal RNA is filed under the name uncultured bacterium. RNAcentral describes it as "partial 16S ribosomal RNA". It matches the Rfam family "Bacterial small subunit ribosomal RNA", at positions 96 to 354 of the family's 1533-position model. The record is from RNAcentral.
UGGCGGACGGGUGAGUAACGCGUGGAUAACCUGCCGUAUACAGGGGGAUAACACUUAGAAAUAGGUGCUAAUACCGCAUAAGCGCACGGUUCCGCAUGGAACAGUGUGAAAAACUCCGGUGGUAUACGAUGGAUCCGCGUCUGAUUAGCCAGUUGGCGGGGUAACGGCCCACCAAGGCGACGAUCAGUAGCCGGCCUGAGAGGGUGAACGGCCACAUUGGGACUGAGACACGGCCCAAACUCCUACGGGAGGCAGCAG